RNAcentral lists this non-coding RNA (23 nucleotides) under Arabidopsis thaliana (thale cress). The record is from RNAcentral. Lineage: Eukaryota; Viridiplantae; Streptophyta; Magnoliopsida; Brassicales; Brassicaceae.
AACUAAUUGGAUUUUGAGUGUUG